UGGAGAAUAUUGGACAAUGGGCGCAAGCCUGAUCCAGCCAUGCCGCGUGAGUGAUGAAGGCCCUAGGGUUGUAAAGCUCUUUCACCGGUGAAGAUAAUGACGGUAACCGGAGAAGAAGCCCCGGCUAACUUCGUGCCAGCAGCCGCGGUAAUACGAAGGGGGCUAGCGUUGUUCGGAUUUACUGGGCGUAAAGCGCACGUAGGCGGACUUUUAAGUCAGGGGUGAAAUCCCGGGGCUCAACCCCGGAACUGCCUUUGAUACUGGAAGUCUUGAGUAUGGUAGAGGUGAGUGGAAUUCCGAGUGUAGAGGUGAAAUUCGUAGAUAUUCGGAGGAACACCAGUGGCGAAGGCGGCUCACUGGACCAUUACUGACGCUGAGGUGCGAAAGCGUGGGGAGCAAACAGG
Molecule: ribosomal RNA, 404 nt
Filed under: Brucella melitensis
Lineage: Bacteria; Pseudomonadati; Pseudomonadota; Alphaproteobacteria; Hyphomicrobiales; Brucellaceae
Also listed under: 1 other name
Description: partial 16S ribosomal RNA
Rfam family: Bacterial small subunit ribosomal RNA
Source: RNAcentral